RNAcentral lists this ribosomal RNA (465 nucleotides) under Vreelandella stevensii. RNAcentral's name for it is "partial 16S ribosomal RNA". It matches the Rfam family "Bacterial small subunit ribosomal RNA", at positions 338 to 795 of the family's 1533-position model. Lineage: Bacteria; Pseudomonadati; Pseudomonadota; Gammaproteobacteria; Oceanospirillales; Halomonadaceae. The record is from RNAcentral.
CCUACGGGGUGCUGCAGUGGGGAAUAUUGGACAAUGGGCGAAAGCCUGAUCCAGCCAUGCCGCGUGUGUGAAGAAGGCCUUCGGGUUGUAAAGCACUUUCAGUGGGGAAGAAAGCCUUGGGGCUAAUACCCUCGAGGAAGGACAUCACCCACAGAAGAAGCACCGGCUAACUCCGUGCCAGCAGCCGCGGUAAUACGGAGGGUGCGAGCGUUAAUCGGAAUUACUGGGCGUAAAGCGCGCGUAGGCGGUCUGAUAAGCCGGUUGUGAAAGCCCCGGGCUCAACCUGGGAACGGCAUCCGGAACUGUCAGGCUAGAGUGCAGGAGAGGAAGGUAGAAUUCCCGGUGUAGCGGUGAAAUGCGUAGAGAUCGGGAGGAAUACCAGUGGCGAAGGCGGCCUUCUGGACUGACACUGACGCUGAGGUGCGAAAGCGUGGGUAGCAAACAGGAUUAGAUCCCCGGGUAGUC